This is a long non-coding RNA of Notothenia coriiceps (black rockcod), 568 nucleotides long. RefSeq lists it as uncharacterized. NCBI's taxonomy places the organism in Eukaryota, Metazoa, Chordata, Actinopteri, Perciformes, Nototheniidae. The transcript has 3 exons. The record is from RefSeq and is a predicted model, not a curated record.
CAUUAUCAGAUGAGGACAUCACCAAAGUGUGAGUCUGUCAAGGGAUUUGAUCUGUUAUCUGCAUGUCGUACUAUGUACACACUGCUCUGGUAUUAAUUAAAAAUAUAAUUGUAAAAUGUAAGUCUCCCGCUCUUGUCAUCGUUCAGGCUUUGCAUUUGAACUCCUAUGACUGGUUGCAGACUUGAAGGGAACGACUUCCUGGCCUUCCUGACAUCCAGGAAAAAGGUCAAAUCCAUUUCAAUGCCAAAAGCAAUUUAUUGUUUUUAACUUUUUUAAUAUGAUUUUUUUGGGGAAUUUCAGUUUUAUUGGACAGUAGAGAUGUACUGGAAACAGAUAUUUGAGAUGAUAUGCAGCAAAAGGCCGAGCCGGAUGGUUGCUGCUCCGUGUGAAACGUGUUCUAUCAGGUGUAACAUCUACCAAUGGUUGUACAUGACAUAGACCUCUUCCACCUCUUUGCUGUCCUACUAUUCAACCCUCCUGAUCAGAGCCUUUCCUAAAUAGUGAAAGGAUCAUGCCAGCCCACAUCAAACACCUGAUCAAGAACUUGUGAAUCGCCAGGCAGAGGAGA